Molecule: unclassified non-coding RNA, 321 nt
Filed under: uncultured fungus
Lineage: Eukaryota; Fungi
Description: partial contains small subunit ribosomal RNA, internal transcribed spacer 1, and 5.8S ribosomal RNA
Rfam family: Eukaryotic small subunit ribosomal RNA (bases 1-73)
Source: RNAcentral
UCAAACUUGGUCAUUUAGAGGAAGUAAAAGUCAUAACAAGGUUUCCGUAGGUGAACCUGCGGAAGGAUCAUUAGUGAACCUUUGGGAGUCGGCCGGCCCUUGUGGUCUGUCGGCCUCGCCCUGAACUGGCCCCCCCCUCCCCAUGGUGGGGGGUCGAAAGGGCUUCACUCAUCCCUCACCUGUGAACUGUCGUGGGGCCCUCUCGCGAGGUCCACGCGUCUUCUACCAAACUUCUGGUGGUCAAAGAUGUUGCUCUUGUCAUGAUCUAUUAAAACUUUCAACGACGGAUCUCUUGGCUCUCGCAUCGAUGAAGAACGCAGC